UACAAGAUGGUGCUAAGCGUAUUUUUCUAGAUGUUGCUUGUUUCUUUAAAGAGGAGGUAUUGGAAACUAUUGAAGAAAAACUAGCGGCUUAUGAUUUUGGUGCAAGGUCUUAUAUUGAAGUUCUUGUUGACAAAUCUCUUGUAACUGUUGCUGAUAAUGGUAACUUGGGCAUGCAUGAUCUAAUACAGCAAAUGGGUAGAGAGAUUAUUAGGCAGGAGGCACCGUCAAAUCCUUGUAAAUGCAGUAGAUUAUGGCAUUACAAAGAUGUUCUCAAAGUAUUGCGUGAAAAUCUAGAAAGCGGUAAUAUUGAAGGAAUAAUGCUUGAUCCGCCUCAACAAGAAGAAGUGGAGUGGAGUGGUAUGGCUUUUGAGAAGAUGAGUAAUCUUAGGAUUCUUGUGGUCCGGAAUUCCCAAUUUUCAGCUACCCAAAGUAUUUUCCAAGUAGUUUAAGAUUGCUUGAUUGGGCGGGAUAUCCUCCUACAACUUUGCCACCAGAUUUUUCUCCUAAGAAACUAGUUUUCAUCAAAUUAUCUGGUAGACUUUUCAGAAUGGAAGAGUCAUUCAAGAGGUUUGAAUGUGUAACGUAUAUGAAUUUCUCAUACUGCAAAUUCAUAACUGAAGUACCUGAUAUGUCUCAAUUUCAAAAUUUAAGAAGACUGUUGUUCAAAAGAUGUCACAAUCUAAUCAAAGUUCAUGACUCGGUUGGAUCUCUGUGUAAGCUGGUUGAAUUAAAUCUUAGUAGAUGCACCAAUCUUACAGGCUGUCCACACGAAAUCAAGAUGACAUCUCUUCAAAAGCUUCAUCUCAGAUAUUGCAGGAGCCUUGACCACUUCCCACAUAUAGUGGGAAAGAUGGAUGCACUGAGGACAAUUUAUGCAGAAGACACUGCAAUUAAAGAGCUCCCUCCUUCUAUUGGAAAUCUUCCGAGGCUUGAAUCUUUAGUUAUAAGCUCCCACAAAAGUCUUAGGGAGCUUCCAAGCAGCUUAUUCACGUUGCAAAGCCUUAGUUGGCUUAAUUUAAGAGGCAUUCAACCUCCGAGCAGAAAAUCUUUGAAGAAAUCAUUGCAAGAGAACCAACCAGUUAUUAGCCGCUCAAACUUGAAGAUGUUGAAUCUCGAAAAUUGUUGUCUACUGCUUGAAGAUCUUCACCUAGCUCUAAAUUGUUUUUGGAAUGUGCAAGAGUUAAUUUUAUCAGGGAGUGACUUUGUGUCCCUUCCUGAGUGCAUUAUAGAGUGUGCUAAUAUGCGGAAUCUAGUAUUGAAUAAACUGCAAGAGGCCAAGAGACAUACCAGAGUUGCCAUCAAAAUUGGAAAAUAUAGAGGCUGAGAAUUGCAUAUAAUUAUCUACAGGGUCAGUAGGCCAUUUAUGGUCUCAGGUUUUUGUCAUUUUUUUCUUUCUAUAAUCUUUCUUUUGCCAUUUUGAAGUUAAUCAAAUUAAAUGCUGGUCUGAUGGUCAGAUCUCAGAUAGAUACUGAUCUGAAAAUGCCUUUGGGCUCUUUUCUGGUAAAUCAGGCAAGAAAGGAGUUCCAUCACUUGAACAUUACUAUGCCACCAACAACAUUUCCUGAUUGAUUGUUUCAGCAUAUGCUGUAAAGGAGGGACAUUGUCUUUUUGUGCUCGUGGGAAUUUCCCUCAUGCUGCCUUUGCUUUUGAGUUGGGAAAGCAAACUUGAGUGAGAAACACUUUGUCCAUGUUUCCUUGAGCGUCAAUGGUCGUCAAACACAAAGGAGACAAAUGCUGCAAAUUAUGGAACUAGGCAAGGCCAUCUGUUUUUAUUUGAUAUAAAAAUGGCUUUUGAGCCAGAAGAGUGGGAGAGGCUUGAUAGUUUUCUGGAGCUGGAUUGGAAUGAUGUGGCAGUAGAGGUCCUACGUUUGACUCCCCGCAGGAAAAAAGAAGUCAUAAAGUUAACACCAGAAAUGCCUAUAGUUAACUGUGGAGUGUAUGCGUACAAACAGCAAACAAACAUGGAGAAUGUCCUUUUCAAGUCAUCUAUACUUUCCAUGAAUGUUCCUAUAACUUCACAGAAACGAAGAGCAAUUGCUUCUCCUCCUAAUGAACCGCCCAUGAAGAUCUUGAGAAAAUUCAAGGGUGUUGAUAACGGAAAACUCAAUAACACAAAAUGGGAUAAGGUCCAGGAGAAUCAAACUACACCAAAUUUUUCGUUUGUGCUGCAAAAGAAAGAUUGUUUUUCCAAUAGGUAAGCAUGUUUGGUUGUAAAUUCAAUGAGAUGAAUGGUUUAUUUUUCUAAUAUGCAUUAUCAUUUGUGAAUUGGAAAUAUCUGUUUAUGAAGGAAAGAAUGUUAUGUCAUCACACCUUAGUGGCUUUAUGCUUUACCUGAAACCAAAAGGGUAUGGGUUCGGUAAUGGUAAAUCUAAUGUUUCAUUUCCCGAGGCAUUUAUCAUAGAAACUAGGUAGAGUUUUUGAAAUAAUGGGGUCAAUUUGUUUACCCAUACUAACGUGUAAUCUUUUUAA
Molecule: RNA transcript, 2469 nt
Organism: Prosopis cineraria
Lineage: Eukaryota; Viridiplantae; Streptophyta; Magnoliopsida; Fabales; Fabaceae
Gene name: protein SUPPRESSOR OF npr1-1, CONSTITUTIVE 1-like
Exons: 5
Source: RefSeq, a predicted model, not a curated record